Molecule: ribosomal RNA, 254 nt
Filed under: uncultured bacterium
Lineage: Bacteria
Also listed under: 1 other name
Description: partial 16S ribosomal RNA
Rfam family: Bacterial small subunit ribosomal RNA
Source: RNAcentral
UACGUAGGUGGCGAGCGUUAUCCGGAUUUAUUGGGUUUAAAGGGAGCGUAGGCGGCUGAUUAAGUCAGCGGUGAAAGGUAGCAGCUUAACUGUUUUACAUGCCGUUGAUACUGGUUAGCUUGAGUUGACAGAAGGCAGAUAGAAUUUCUGGUGUAGCGGUGAAAUGCUUAGAUACCAGAAGGAAUACCGAUUGCGAAGGCAGUCUGCUGCAGUCACACUGACGCUGAGGCUCGAAAGUGCGGGGAUCAAACAGG